AACAGGAGUUUUAUUCUAUGCGUAAUGAGUAGGAGAGGUUUUAAGCAGAAGAGUACAUAAUCUGACUUUUGGUUUAAAAGUCUCAACCUUGGUGGAUAUGGAUUUAACAAGCUACCGGGGUCAGGAAAGAGGACAGAAUUCUGAGUUAAGAAGUAACUGUAGUCAUCUAGAAAAGAGAUCAGGAAUAUUUAAACUAAGGAGGAAGUGAAUCCACCAGCAACAGUGCCCACUGGCAGGCAUUAUGGCUUAAUUCUCCCAGGAAACCCUGGCUGAGAACGUCUACGGGAUCAAGUCUAAUCUCCUCAAAAUGAAACAGAAGAUCAUUUACAUGCCAUAGACGUCUCCACCUUAUUUCUUGAGACUUCUCUUCCCUUCUUCCUAUAUCAAGCUACCUACAAUUUCCUUAAUGCUGAGCCUAUUUCCAACUUCUUUGUUUGGAAUUCCCUUGGAGUCUCUGUGGUAGUAUCUACUAAUCUUUAUCAAAGUGGAAGCAUGAUCUUAUCCAUGAAACACUUCCUCCUAUUCCCUAAUGCAGAACUGAGGUCUUCCUUCUUGAUACUCAAGAAUGUAAAGGAAAACACGAACAUGAGGAAAAGUGCUUAAAAAAAAGGAAAAGGCCUAAGUGAACCUUACAGAGAUGAAAAAUACAGUAUAUGAAAGGAAACAUUGUGCUGAAUUGGAUUUGUGGCAAAUCAGACCCUUCAGAAGAACCAAUGGUCAACCGGAAGUCACAGCAAUAAAAUAUAUCCAAGGUGAAGCAGUGAGAGGAAAAAAAAGACUUAAAAAAUAAUUCAAUUCUCUCUGAGACAAUAUGAAGUAGUACAAUACAUGCACGCUGGACUCUAAUCAGGAGAGGAGAAAGAGACACAGGAAAAAAUUUUCAGCAAUAAAAACCCAAAAUGUUCCAAGCUUGAUAAAACCCUAUAACCAAAGCAGCUCCAAGACUCCAAGCAGGGUGCACAUAAACACACACACACACACACAUACACACACACACACAGAAUCACAAGGCCCAUCAAAUUCCUAAUGCUGAAAACUAGGGAUCAAGAAAAAAAAAUCUUAAACCAAGUGAGAGGAAAAAAGAGACCUUACAGAGAUAGAGGGCCAAGAUAACAAGGCCAGCAGAUUUUUCCAUCAAGAACGAAACAAGCCAAAAUGCUAAUGUAACAACUUUACAGAUUGAAACAAAAAGCUGUCAACCCAGAAUUCUAUACCCAGUGAAAAUAUAUUUAUUUCAAAAUGAGAGAUAAACACUUCUUCAAGCAAAAGCUAACAGCACAUAUCGCCAUCAGACCCAAACUACAAGAAAUGUUAUUUAUGUGGUUAAUAAAAGAGGCUUUUGCUUCAAAGUUUUCUUUAAAAACUAACUCUUGGGGUGCCUGGGUGGCUCAGUCAGUUGGGCGGCUGACUUCAGCUCAGGUCAUGAUCUCAAGGUCCGUGAGUUCCAGCCCCGCGUCGGGCUCUGUGCUGACAGCUCAGAGCCUGGAGCCUGUUUCAGAUUCUGUGUCUCCCUCUCUCUGACCCUCCCCUGUUCAUGCUCUGUCUCUCCCUGUCUCAAAAAUAAAUUAAAAAAAAUAAUAAUAAAAAUAAAAACUAACUCUUAAAAGCAAAAAUAUAUUUUAGGAUAAUUUAUGGAGAAGCAAAAUGUAUGAUGGUAUCAACACAAAGAACACAUGCCUGAUAAACACUGAUGUAAACUUAUUACACUACACGUGAUACGGUAUAAUAGCAUUAUUAGCAUCAAUAAUUAAUUAUAAUAAUAGUAGUAGUUGUGUGCUA
Long non-coding RNA from Acinonyx jubatus (cheetah), 1779 nucleotides. RefSeq lists it as uncharacterized. NCBI's taxonomy places the organism in Eukaryota, Metazoa, Chordata, Mammalia, Carnivora, Felidae. The record is from RefSeq and is a predicted model, not a curated record. The transcript is spliced from 3 exons.